Molecule: ribosomal RNA, 405 nt
Filed under: uncultured bacterium
Lineage: Bacteria
Description: bacterial SSU rRNA
Rfam family: Bacterial small subunit ribosomal RNA
Source: RNAcentral
UCCCAGACUCCUACGGGAGGCAGCAGUCGGGAAUAUUGCGCAAUGGAGGCAACUCUGACGCAGUGACGCCGCGUAUAGGAAGAAGGUUUUCGGAUUGUAAACUAUUGUCCUCAGGGAAGAAAAAAGACUGUACCUGAGAAGAAAGCUCCGGCUAACUACGUGCCAGCAGCCGCGGUAAUACGGAGGAUGCGAGCGUUAUCCGGAUUUAUUGGGUUUAAAGGGUGCGCAGGCGGCACGGCAAGCCGGCGGUCAAAUCGCGGGGCUCAACCCCGCCCAGCCGUUUGAACUGCCGGGCUAGAGUGGGCGAGAAGUGCGCGGAAUGCGUGGUGUAGCGGUGAAAUGCAUAGAUAUCACGCAGAACUCCGAUUGCGAAGGCAGCGCACCGGCGCCCUACUGACGCUCAGG